RNAcentral lists this ribosomal RNA (543 nucleotides) under Paracamarosporium hawaiiense. Its description in RNAcentral is "eukaryotic LSU rRNA". The stretch from base 171 to 324 matches the Rfam family "5.8S ribosomal RNA". The record is from RNAcentral. Lineage: Eukaryota; Fungi; Ascomycota; Dothideomycetes; Pleosporales; Didymosphaeriaceae.
UCGAUGGCCGCGCCGUGAGCGCUCUCGGCGGGAUCGGCCGGCCACUGACCACACCUCUUACUUUACGAGCACCUUUCGUUCUCCUUCGGCGGGGCGACCCGCCGCUGGAACCUCAUCACGAACCUUUUUUUGCAUCUAGCAUUACCUGUUCUGAUAAAUAUAAUCGUUACAACUUUCAACAAUGGAUCUCUUGGCUCUGGCAUCGAUGAAGAACGCAGCGAAAUGCGAUAAGUAGUGUGAAUUGCAGAAUUCAGUGAAUCAUCGAAUCUUUGAACGCACAUUGCGCCCCUUGGUAUUCCAUGGGGCAUGCCUGUUCGAGCGUCAUCUACACCCUCAAGCUCUGCUUGGUGUUGGGCGUCUGUCCCGCCUCUGCGCGCGGACUCGCCCCAAAGGCAUUGGCAGCGGUCCACGGCCCCUCUCGCGCAGCACAUUGCGCUUCUCGAGGCGGCCCGGCCCGCGUCCACGAAGCCCACAUUACCGUCUUUGACCUCGGAUCAGGUAGGGAUACCCGCUGAACUUAAGCAUAUCAAUAAGGCGAGAGGA